GUCACUUCAGCAGCACAUAUACUAAAAUUAGAAAGAUACACAGAUUAGCCUGGCCCCUGUACAAGGAUAUCACGCAAAUUUGUGACACGUUCCAUAAUUUU
Molecule: small nuclear RNA, 101 nt
Organism: Otolemur garnettii (small-eared galago)
Lineage: Eukaryota; Metazoa; Chordata; Mammalia; Primates; Galagidae
Source: Ensembl